Musa acuminata subsp. malaccensis (wild Malaysian banana) is the source of this 582-nucleotide long non-coding RNA. RefSeq lists it as uncharacterized. The record is from RefSeq and is a predicted model, not a curated record. Lineage: Eukaryota; Viridiplantae; Streptophyta; Magnoliopsida; Zingiberales; Musaceae.
CCAACCCUCGCAGGCUUCGGUUCCACACGUUGCUUCGCUGUUGUCGCCGCCGCCGGCCGAAGGCGAUGGCACCGAAAAGGCUGGCGAGACGAGCAAGUCUUCGCUACCUCGUCGUCUCUCGUUCGGCCUCUCAAAUCGCAUCCCCCCCAUUGCACACAUUUUGGCCACCAAGCUGUUCUUCCGUGUCUGCAUACGGAGAAGAAACACAACAUCGAACUCCGCAAGUAACGUGUUCGACCAAAUGACACCGUCACGUCGAGGCGGAGUUACUUGACCCAACCACUCCUCCGACUCCAUUUUCUCCGGCAUUAGCAGCCGCAGACUCGAUCGUUUGCAGCAGCGACCCACGAGUAGAGAGAGUGCACCGAGAACCGGUGACGAAGUCACGAGUCAGAGUUGAGGGGCUUUGACAAGUCUAAGAUCUCCAGGGUCGAUGCUUCAAAUCUAGAGAGUGACAGAGAGAUGCGUGUGAGACUGAGACUGUCGAAGAGUUUGGCCAGGAGAUACCAGUGAUUCGUACAAGGUUGGGAGCUGAAACCAUCGCCGAUCACAUCCGUAGUAUCGAUCAUCACGGACUUCAAA